GAGUUUGAUCAUGGCUCAGAUUGAACGCUGGCGGCAGGCUUAACACAUGCAAGUCGAGCGGGCGAGGUUGCUUCGGUAACUGAGCUAGCGGCGGACGGGUGAGUAAUGCUUAGGAAUCUGCCUAUUAGUGGGGGACAACAUUCCGAAAGGAAUGCUAAUACCGCAUACGCCCUACGGGGGAAAGCAGGGGAUCUUCGGACCUUGCGCUAAUAGAUGAGCCUAAGUCAGAUUAGCUAGUUGGUGGGGUAAAGGCCUACCAAGGCGACGAUCUGUAGCGGGUCUGAGAGGAUGAUCCGCCACACUGGGACUGAGACACGGCCCAGACUCCUACGGGAGGCAGCAGUGGGGAAUAUUGGACAAUGGGCGCAAGCCUGAUCCAGCCAUGCCGCGUGUGUGAAGAAGGCCUUUUGGUUGUAAAGCACUUUAAGCGAGGAGGAGGCUACUUGGAUUAAUACCCUAGGAUAGUGGACGUUACUCGCAGAAUAAGCACCGGCUAACUCUGUGCCAGCAGCCGCGGUAAUACAGAGG
This 528-nucleotide ribosomal RNA is filed under the name uncultured bacterium. RNAcentral's name for it is "bacterial SSU rRNA". It matches the Rfam family "Bacterial small subunit ribosomal RNA", at positions 9 to 531 of the family's 1533-position model. The record is from RNAcentral.